This is a non-coding RNA of Oryctolagus cuniculus (rabbit), 9089 nucleotides long. The record is from RefSeq and is a predicted model, not a curated record. Lineage: Eukaryota; Metazoa; Chordata; Mammalia; Lagomorpha; Leporidae.
CGCGCCGGUCGGCCCCGCCCUCGCGGCGAAGGUGGCUGCCGAGGUGGGCGGGGAGGUCAGGUGACCCGGCCGGCGUCCCAAGAUGGCGGCGGCGGCGGCGGCCGGGAGGCCCUGGCGGCGUCCCGGCCACUAAGGCGGGCUCUGCGCGGCUGGCGGCGGACGGGCCGGGCCGAGGGCCGGCGGACAGGCGGCCGCUGUCCCCCCGCGCUCCGCGGCCGGGGCUGGGCCGUGUGGCGGCGGCGCCGGGGAAUGCUUUUGCUGGGCCCGGCCUCUCCUUCCUCAACUUAGGGCGGCGGCGGGCCCGCGCCCCUGGGUCCCGGGCCAUGGCGCUGCGGGAGCUCAAAGUGUGUCUGCUGGGGGAUACGGGUGUAGGUAAAUCCAGCAUCGUCUGGCGGUUUGUGGAAGACAGCUUUGAUCCGAACAUCAACCCAACCAUAGGGUAAGAGAUGGCUCUUGUUCACUGUGCAUCUAAAGGGGCGCGGAGGGCCCCCGGAUGAGUGACACGUGUGGCACUGCCGCCCCUCCCUGCACCCCAGGCGCUGGUCCCAGUCACCUCUGUAGGGACCUGAAGGAACACAGUGAGGACUGGGGUAUUUUUAGGAAAAUGGUCCUCAGAUUUGUGGGGAGUGAAUGCUUGCUUAUUGUGAGAAUAGUCUUGCAAGCUUCAGUCUGGUUACACCUGGAAAGCAGGCAGGGCAGGUGGGCCCUGUGUUGCCGGUGUGUCAGCCACAAGGUGCUUAGGUGGCCUUAGUCUUUGCUCCAAACCCUUCUCCCACAUCCCUGUACCAGUAGCAGUACUGAGUUAGUACAAGCAAUGUUGACGUGGAAGGUUUUUCCGGGUGUCUGGUUCUUUGGGUAAGUGAGGUUGUACCUGUAGGUCUUUGGCUCGUGGAAGCACGCUUUGCAGGGGGUGUGUGAGUUUCUCGGGGUGAGCGGGGUGUUUUAACGCUGGGUAGCUGGUGUGCUCCCUUGUCGAUGCCUCCAUUUGAAGAGAGCUUCGCUGUUCUCCAUCGUAAGGGUGGAAUCCGCGUUUGUGCUCUGUGCGGGGUGGGCCCUGCCUGCCCUGCCGGAAGAUUGCCCGCUGCGGCGUUGGAAGCCCUGCUGUCAGUUUACGCACUCAGAAUCUUUGGUGUGCUUUGUGAGCUCUGGGUUUCCUACACAUUUGAAGCCAGGGGAUGGAAUCCACCCCCAACUGUUCCUGUAAUUAAAAUGCCCUACACGGAAGGACUGGGUGUGUCCACAUGCUUGAAGUCUGACCUCACCCUCGGAAGCGCCUGCCUGUCGCUACCUGCGUGGAGAAGUGAAGUUGACAGAGUUGACAGCAGGUAGCACUGAUGACUCAGUGAGUGACAGCUUCACCUGAGUCAGAACGGGAAACCCUCCAGCAGCGUGGUGAGGCGUGGCCCCCCAGGAGGGAUGAGAGGGAAGGGUGAGCUUGGCCCCUGCCGGGGAGGCCGUGGCUCCUCCCAGCCUCUGCCAGUGACUCCUGAGCCUGCUCUCACCCGCUCUUGGCUCACGUCUCACGGGAGGGAGGGAUGCACGGCUCCCUCUCAUUCCCCCCCUUCUCCCUUUCCUUCCUUCUUUCUCUUCAGCCUCAGAAUGCGGCUUUCUGUCUCACGACCUGGGCUCUGGGACCCCAGCGUCUUUGUCGCUCACCCCUUUCUUCCAGCACUGCCCUCCUGGCGACAGCGGCAGACGCGUCCCCGGCCCGUCCUGCUGCCCUGCUGCUCAGCUCGUGGGCCCCCGGGAGAGGCCUGCUGCUGGAGCACCCUCUCCCGCCCACUCCUGACGGCGCACCCCUCCCUCCCCAUCAGCGGCAAGUUACUCACUCCUGUCCAGGCCUGGGCCUGGGCCUCCUGACUGUCCCAGCACGGACUGCCGGUGUCUGAUUCCCGGCCCUCACCUUGCCUUGUGGGAAUGCGGCCCGACACCGGCAGCCGGCUGUACCACAAGUCUGCCACGUGCCAGCCAGUCACCCUGGACGGUUGAGUACCUGAUCCGUUUCCUCAUCAGCAAAACGAGGGUGGCGAUAGGACCAGCGUCAGAUUGUUAGGUGAGUUCCGUGAGAAACGCGUUGAACCGCUUAGCGAAGUGCCAGGGCGCUGUGGGAGCUCACUAAAUAGCUGCCAGUUUUAUUUUUAAAAUCAAGUCUUUAAGAUGGUUUUUGUUGGGGUGGGCAUUUGGCACCGUGGUUAAGCUGCCACGUGGGCGACCCACAUGCCUUGUCUGAGUGUCUGGUUCCAGUCCCAGCUCCACUUCCCGUCCAGCUUCCUGCCAACACGCACGCUGGGAAGCAGCCGGUGACGGCUCAUGUGUUUGGGUCCCUUCACCGUGUGCGAUACCCAGAUGGAGUUGAGACUCCUGACACCAGCGUGGCCGAGCCCUGGCUGUGGCCGGCAUCCGGAGCAUGAACCAGCCUAUGGAAGCUCUUUCUCCCUGUAUGCUUUUCAAAUAAAGUGAAAACAGAAUUCUUAAAAAUACAUUGAAGUGAAAUUUGUAUCACUGUAUCAUGUAUGUGUAGUAUCUGUGGAAAACAGUGGUACAGGACUGGUAAGUCCAGUUUAAUAUCUGACGUUGCCCUGGCCCCGCUUGCUCCCUCGAGGCAUUUAGCUCUGUUCCUGCCCUCUCCAGGUGUCUCAGGACACCGUGUACUGACAGGUCACGAUCCCGACUCCUGCGCUCCACUUCUCAGUGUUAGCCACUGAUUUUUUUUUCUUUGAAAGGUGAGGAUUGAGCCAUCCUUCCACCUCCUUCUGCUGGUUCGCCUCCCUGCACCUUGGCGUCACAGCUCUGUGACGAAGAGGUUGUGCUUCGUGUUUAACAGACACCCACCCGAGCAGGGUGUCCUGCCCUCUCCUAGCCCCAGCACUGUGCCGCUCGGCGGCCCUGGGCCAGGUGUUUAACAUCUUUGUGACUUUGUGGCAUCUAACAUACAGAGUUGUAAAAAUCAAGUUGGAACUCAAGAAUUACUUAGAAUGGUGCUUGCCUUCUGAUAAGCAUUUUUUAUUUCUUAGCAGUUUAAAAAAAAAUUUUUUUUAAUUUAUUUGACAGGUAGAGUUACAGACAGAGACAAAGAGAAAGGUCUUCCUUCCAUUGGUUCACCCCCCAAUGGCUGCCAGGGCUGGCACUGUGCCGAUCCGAAGCCAGGAGCCAGGUGCUUCUUUCUGGUCUCCCGUGCGGGUGCAGGGCCCAAGUACUUGGGCCAUCCUCCACUGCACUCCCUGGCCACAGCAGAGAGCUGGACUGGAAGAGGGGCAACCGGGACAGAAUCCGGUGCCCAUAUGGGAUGCCAGUGCCGCAGGUGGAGGAUUAACCAAGUGAGCCACAGCGCCGGCCCAGCAGUUUUUUUUUUGUUUGUUUGUUUGUUUGUUUGUUUGUUUUAGUAAGCUAGCACUAGUUUUGAAUGUUACAUAGAUGGGAUUAGGCAGGAUGUAUGUAUUUCAUGUGUCGAUUUUCAGGAGUUCUGAGAUUCAUCCAUGCUGCUCCCUGCCCGAGCAGUAUAUUCACUGUUAUCACUGUGUAAUCAGUGUCCAUUGAUUGAAUAUACCAUAGUUAGCUAAUAUUUAUCUGUUCAUGGUUGGCGAUUUUGUUUCUCAGUUGGACAUUUGAUUUUAAUUUGAGGUUAUUAUGCCUAAUUCUGUGAACAAUCUUGUACCCAUAUUUAUAAUUUUUUGGUGGAUAUUUACAAGCAGCCAUCAAAAAGGUCAUGGGUAUGUGUGUUAUCUUUUUUUAAAAAAAUAUUUAUUUUUAUUUAUUUGAAAGAGUUAGAGAGAGAGGUAGAGACAGAGAGGUCUUCCAUCUGCUGUUCACUCCCCAAAUGGCUGCAACAGCUGGAGCUGGGCCUAUCCAAAGUCAGGAGCCAGGAACAACUUCUGGGUCUCCCGCAUGGGUGCAGGUGCCCAAGCACUUGGGCAUCUUCUUCUGCUUUCCCAGGUCACAGCAGAGAGCUGGAUCGGAAGUGGAGCAGCCAGGGCUCGAACCAGCACCCAUAUGGGAUGCCAACACUUCAGGCCCAGGAUUUAUCCCACUGCACCACAGCAUUGGCCCUUGUGUGUUAUCUUCAGUUUUAUAUUUAGUUUUAUUUUUCCAUGAACUUUUUUGAAGCUUGUUGGUGUGUCUGUCUCUUGCUCGCUCGCUCGCUCGUGCUCUCUCUAGCAGUGGAAUUGCCAGAUCACAGGAAAUAAAUUCCUGAAAAGAAUUGAAAGAUACUUCGAUGCAGAAAUGUUUGACACCUGUGCAUGGUUUUGACAAUGCUCGCUUCCUGGGCAUUCCCUCAGCUGUCUUCAACUCUCAUCUGCCCAUCAGUUGCUCUAUGGCCUCCGCGACUCUUGGUAUGGUCAGUCCUUAAUUUGUGCGCUGCUGUCUCAUUUUGUGUCCCUGAGGGCUAAAGCCAUUGAUCAGUUUUUUACCUGUUGAUUGGCCGUUCGGAUAUCAGGCCUUGUGAAGUACUCAUUUCUCACGGUGUAGACACACACUUGGAGUGUCUCGUGGAGACUGGUCGUAUGUUGGCUUUGUCUUUCCGAAAGAUCAGAAGUUCUGAUUUUUAAUGUAGCCCAUUUGUUUAAUCUGUCUUUUCCUAUACGGUUGGUGCUUUUUAGGUCCUGUUUAAGAAACUUUGAUUUACCAAGUUUAUGAAAAUAUUUUCCUCUUUAAUAGAAACUUUUCCAAUUUAUAUCAAAAAACUCACUCUAGUGAGUGAAAUAUAAGAUAGAGAUUAAGUGUGGGGAGCUGGUUUGUUUUGUUUUGUGGCUAAUUUCAGUGCGCAUGUCCAGUGGUCCUGCCCGAAUCUUACAGCUGCCUGUAACCACCGCUCUGUUCUGAGCCAUAGUUGUCAUUAAUUGAUCCGUCUGUGUUUAUAAGGCUCUGUAUAUCAGUUUUCUGUUAUAAUCCAUUGCUCUGUGUUAUUAAUUGACUUUAGUAAGUACAGUUUGCAUUCAGUAAAAUGCACCUAUUUUGAGUGAACUUCUGGUGGAUUUUCACAGAUUUUGCAUAAAUCGCCAGCACGAUCAUGAUGGGAUACACCUCCCUCCCCUUAGGUUCCCUUUCACUCCACCCUUUGAGCCCCACACCUGCCCUGGCUCCAGGCCGCCACUGAUUAAACUCUGCGCUUCAAAUGUUGUUGUCUUUUGUAUAGGGUUUCAUGUGAACGCAGCUGCCGUCUGUGUGCUCUAUAUGUCUAGAUGAUAUUUUUUUGACGUCUGCCUAUAGUGUUCUUUUAAAGAUUGUUUAUCUGAAAGACAGAGUGACAGAGAGAGGUCUUACAUCUGCUCAUUCACUCCCCAAAUGCCCACAACAACCAGGACUAGGCCAGGCUGAAGCCAGGAACCCAGAACCCAUGUGGGUAGCAGGGACCAAAGCGCUUAAGCCAUCACCUGCUGCCUCCAGGACGCACUAGCAGGAGACUGAAUGGGAAGUGGACUCUCUGGGACUCGACCGACCUCGGGAUGCAGGCAGUCCUGGUGGUGACUCAGGCCACACAGCUUUUACCCCAGCAGCUUGGUGCUUUGAAUUCUGGUCGAUGAUCUGUUGCUACUGGGUUUUGUUUAUUGUGUGAGGUAGAGGUGAAGGAUCGUUGUUUCCUUCAUGUGUCAUCAUAGUCAUUCUAGCAACGUUUACUAAUGUUGAAUUCAGCAUAUGUUGUAUUCCCUUGGCACCUUGCUCAAGAGAAGUGUGUGUGUGUGGGGGGGGUGUGUUUCUGGAUUUCCCCGUUCUAUUCCAUUCAUCUCUUUACCCUUCAGAGCAAGAUCAUUUGAUUGCUGUAGAUCUAUGGAAAGUCUUGAAAUUGGGUAGUGUAUGUCAUCCAGUUACAGACUGAUUUUUCGGAUUUGUUUGAUUCCUCUAUAUCAGGAGUGGGGAACCUUUUUUUCUGCCAUUUAGAUAUUUAUAACAUCAUUUGCAGGACAUACGAAAUUAUUAGCUUAAAAAUUCACCCGGUAUAGAUUUAUUGAAUUUUGAAUCCCCUGGAAUCGCCCUGGCAGGACCGGACCAAAUGAUUUCAUGGGGCUUGUGUGGCCAGCGGCUCUGCCCCGCCUCCAGGCUCCAGCUCGUGCCUCUGCCAACAUUGCCUCCUCUAAUUCUCCUCCAUGGCCUACCAUGUCCCUUUAUACUACAGGCAUCUCUGCUGAUUUUCUUUUUAAGAUUUAGUUAUUUAUUUGAAAGGCAGAGUUAGAGAGAGAGUGAGAGAGAUCUUCACAUCUACUGGUUCAUUCCCCAGAUUGCUGUGACGUUGGAGCUGGGCCCAGCCAGGAGCUUCUUCCUGGUCUCCCACGUGGGUGCAGGGGCCCAAGCAUCUGAGUCAUUCCACUGCUUUCCCAGGUGCAUCAACCGAGAGCCGGAUCGGAUCAGAGCAGCUGGGACUUGAACCAGUGCCUAUAUGGGAUGCUGGUAUGGCAGGUGGCAGCUUAAUCCACUAUGCCCCAGUGGCAGCCCUGGUUUUUUGUUUGCUUGUUUUAGUUUAUUUUGGUUUAAAGUUGUUCAUCAAAUUCUGAUUGUCCUGACCUCUUUUAAAGAUUUAUUUGCAAGACCAGUACUGUGGUGUAGCAGGUAAAGCCACCGCCUGCAGUGCUGGCAUCCCAUGUGGGCGCGGGUUCGGGUCCCACCUGCUCUGCUUCCAAACCAGUUCUCUGCUGUGGCCUGGGAAAGCAGUAGAAGAUGGCCCAAGUGCAACAGAGAGAGAGGAAGAGACAGAGACAGAGACAGCCAUAGACAUCCAUCUGCUGAUUCGCUCCCCAAAUGGCGACGCCAGCGAGGUGUGAGCCAGGCUCAGGCCAGGAGCCAGGAACUCCAUUCAUGUUUUGCAUGUGGUGACAGGGGCCCAGGUACUUGAGCCAUCUCUGCUGCCCUCCCAGUAUCAGGAGUGAAGCGCCCAGGGUUCCAUCCAGCUCUGAUGUGGGGUGCAGGCAUCACAGGUGGUGGCUUGACGCACUGUGCCGCACAGCCCCGCUCCCUCAUCCUUCUAAUCGCAUCAGCAUCUACAGUGAUAAUGGCCUGAAACUUUCAUUCUUGGUAUGUGUAAUGUGAGUCCUUUCUCUUUUUCUUUUUUUUAAGAUUUAUUUUGGAGCCAGUGUUGUGGCGCUGGCAUCCCAAAUAGACAUUGGUUGAGUUCCAGCUUCUCCACCUCCAACCAGCUCCCUGCUAUGGCCUGGGAAAGCAGUGGAGACGGCCCAGGUGCAUGGGCCAUCGUCUGCUGUUCUCCCAGGCACAUGAGCAGGAGCUGGGUCGGAAGUGGAGCAGCCGGGACUCAGGUGGCACCAUGUGGGAUGCCAGUGCUGCACAGGCAGCACCUUAACCGCUACACCACAGCACCAGCCCCAGUCCUCCUUUCCCCUGGUCUGUCCAGCUACAAGUUUAUCAAUUUCAUUAGCCUUCAAAUAAGCAAUUUUUUGGUUUCAUUAAUAUUUCCCGUGUUCUACUUAAUUGAUUUUUGCUUUCACCUUCUUUUAUUUCUUUGAUUUAAUGUGUUCUUUUUCCAGCUUUUUAUUGGAAGUUUAAGCCAUUGAUUUUUUUUUUUUUUUUUUUUUUUUUUGACAGGCAGAGUGGACAGUGAGAGAGAGAGACAGAGAGAAAGGUCUUCCUUUACUGUUGGUUCGCCCUCCAAUGGCCGGCACACUGCGCCUAUCUGAAGGCAGGAGCCAGGUGCUUCUCCUGGUCUCCCAUGGGGUGCAGGGCCCAAGCACUUGGGCCAUCCUCCCCUGCACUCCCUGGCCACAGCAGAGAGCUGGCCUGGAAGAGGGGCAACCGGGACAGAAUCCGGCGCCCCGACCAGGACUAGAACCCGGUGUGCCGGUGCUGCAAAGCAGAGGAUUAGCCUAGUGAGCCGCGGCGCCAGCCGCCAUUGAUUUUUUUUAAAGAUUGAUUGAUUUAUUUAUUUGAAAGGUUAGAGUUUAAAGAGAGAGUAAGACAGAGAAAGGUCUUCCAUCUGCUGGUCCAUUCCCCAGAAGGCAACAGUGGCUGGGGCUGGGUCAGGCUGAAGCCGGGAGCUUUCCUCUGGGUUCCCCACACUGGUGGCAGGUGUCCUCCUUGGACCGCCUUCCGAUGCCCUCCCAGGCACGCUAGCAGGGAGUUGUGGAGAGCUAGGACUCGAACUAGUGCUCGUGUGGCUGCCAGCAUCAUAGGCUGGGACUUAGCCCAGUCCUUAGGCCAUUGAUUUUGAGGGCCUUUUUUUUCUCCUUAUGUGAGCACUUAGAAAUCUAAAUUGCCCUCUACUUGUUUAGGUGAAUCUCACACAUUUUUAAAAAUUGUAUUGGGGCUGGCGUUUUGGUACAGCGGGUUAAGCUACUGCCUGUAAUGCCGGCGUCCCAUAUGAGCGCUGGUUUGAGUCUUGACUGCUCCACUUCCAACCCAUUUCCCUGCCAGUGCUCCUGGAGCAGCAGAAACAGUUGGACCCAUCACCACUGUGGGAGACCCGGGUGGAGCCCUGGCUGUAGCCUGCCCCGGCCCUGGCCGUCGCUGGCGUUUGAGGGGGAACCAGCAAAUGGGAGCAUGCUCUUGCUCUGACUCUGUCUUUCAAAUACAUAGUUUUUAAAAAUAAAAAAUGAAAAUUUAAUUAAUUUAUUUGAGAAAGAGUUCCCAUCCACAAGUGUCUGCGAAGACCCACACAGGCACGUGCCAGAACCAGGAAGUUAGUCUGUCCCGAAUGUGGACGUCAGAGACGCAGUUACUUGAGUCAGCACGUGCGGCUGCCCAGGUGUGCGUAAUCAGGAGCAGGACCAGGACCUAGGUAUCCCAAGCAGCGUUUCUUUUUUUAAGACUUCUAAUUACUGGGGCCGGUGCUGUGGGGCAGUAGGUUAACCCUCCACCUGCGGCGCUGGCAUCCCAUAUGGGCGCCGGUUCUAGUUCCGGCUGCUCCUCUUCCAAUCCAGCUCUCUGCUGCAGCCUGGGAAAGCAGUGGAAGAUGGCACAGAUGCUUGGGCCCCUGUGCCCGCAUGGGAGACCAGGAACAAUUACCUGACUCCUGGCUUUGGGUCGGCACAGCUCCGGCCAUUGUGGCCAUCUAGGGAGUGAACCAACGGAAGGAAGACCUUUCUCUCUGUCUCUCUCUCUCACUGUCUGUAACUCUGCCUCUCAAAUAAAUAAAUAGAAGUCUUUUU